UGGGGAAUUGUUCACAAUGGGCGCAAGCCUGAUGACGCAACGCCGCGUGGGGGAUGAAGGUCUUCGGAUCGUAAACCCCUGUCGAAUGGGACGAAAGACUCGCGAGUGAAUACUUCGCGAGAGUGACGGUACCGUUAAAGGAAGCCACGGCUAACUCUGUGCCAGCAGCCGCGGUAAUACAGAGGUGGCAAGCGUUGUUCGGAAUUACUGGGCGUAAAGGGCGCGUAGGCGGCCCUCUAAGUCAGACGUGAAAUCCCCGGCUUAACCUGGGAACUGCGUCUGAUACUGGAGGGCUUGAGUAUGGGAGAGGGAUGUAGAAUUCCAGGUGUAGCGGUGAAAUGCGUAGAUAUCUGGAGGAAUACCGGUGGCGAAGGCGGCAUCCUGGACCAUUACUGACGCUGAGGCGCGAAAGCUAGGGGAGCAAACGGGAUUAGAUACCCUUGUAGUCCCUGAGCGGGCUGGCAAGGCGCAU
This 472-nucleotide ribosomal RNA is filed under the name uncultured bacterium. RNAcentral's name for it is "bacterial SSU rRNA". It matches the Rfam family "Bacterial small subunit ribosomal RNA", at positions 355 to 825 of the family's 1533-position model. The record is from RNAcentral.